GAUGAACGCUGGCGGCGUGCCUAAUACAUGCAGGUCGAGCGAACAGAUGAGGAGCUUGCUCCUCUGACGUUAGCGGCGGACGGGUGAGUAACACGUGGAUAACCUACCUAUAAGACUGGGAUAACUUCGGGAAACCGGAGCUAAUACCGGAUAAUAUAUUGAACCGCAUGGUUCAAUAGUGAAAGACGGUUUUGCUGUCACUUAUAGAUGGAUCCGCGCCGCAUUAGCUAGUUGGUAAGGUAACGGCUUACCAAGGCAACGAUGCGUAGCCGACCUGAGAGGGUGAUCGGCCACACUGGAACUGAGACACGGUCCAGACUCCUACGGGAGGCAGCAGUAGGGAAUCUUCCGCAAUGGGCGAAAGCCUGACGGAGCAACGCCGCGUGAGUGAUGAAGGUCUUCGGAUCGUAAAACUCUGUUAUUAGGGAAGAACAAAUGUGUAAGUAACUAUGCACGUCUUGACGGUACCUAAUCAGAAAGCCCCGGCUAACUACGUG
This 497-nucleotide ribosomal RNA is filed under the name uncultured bacterium. RNAcentral describes it as "partial 16S ribosomal RNA". It matches the Rfam family "Bacterial small subunit ribosomal RNA", at positions 28 to 507 of the family's 1533-position model. The record is from RNAcentral.